This 717-nucleotide ribosomal RNA is filed under the name uncultured bacterium. RNAcentral's name for it is "bacterial SSU rRNA". It matches the Rfam family "Bacterial small subunit ribosomal RNA", at positions 56 to 749 of the family's 1533-position model. The record is from RNAcentral.
UGCAGUCGUGCGAGAAGUCACCUUCGGGUGGCGAGUAAAGCGGCGCACGGGUGAGUAACGCGUGGGUAAUCUGCCUUCGGGUCCGGGACAACUCCGGGAAACUGGAGCUAAUACCGGAUAAGACCACGGCGUCUUCGGACACUGUGGAAAAAGGUGGCCUCUUCUUGAAAGCUACCGCCCGUAGAUGAGCCCGCGUCCCAUUAGCUUGUUGGUGAGGUAACGGCUCACCAAGGCGACUAUGGGUAGCUGGUCUGGGAGGAUGAUCAGCCACACUGGGACUGAGACACGGCCCAGACUCCUACGGGAGGCAGCAGUCGGGAAUUUUGGGCAGUGGGCGCAAGCCUGACCCAGCAACGCCGCGUGAGGGAUGAAGGCCCUCGGGUCGAAACCUCUGUCGGAAGGGAAGAAAGGUGGAGAGGCGAACAGGCUCUUCGCUUGACGGUACCUUCAAAGGAAGCACCGGCUAACUCCGUGCCAGCAGCCGCGGUAAUACGGAGGGUGCAAGCGUUGUUCGAAAUUACUGGGCGUAAAGAGCGUGUAGGCGGCUUGGUCAGUCGAGAUGUGAAAUCCCGGGGCCCAACCCCGGAACUGCAUCCGAUACUGCCUGGCUUGAGUCUCGGAGAGGAAGGCGGAAUUCCGGGUGUAGAGGUGAAAUUCGUAUAUAUCCGGAGGAACACCAGCGGCGAAGGCGGCCUUCUGGACGAUGACUGACGCUGA